UUAAAUUUCAAACCAAUUAUGAGUAAAAGUUUAAAGCGAAAGUGCGAAAACGAUUUUCCCACGGCUUAUUUUAUCGUAUUUAUAAACAAAAGUUUCCAUUAUGCCUAAACUUACAUUAACUAAGUCAGAAUUUAAAUAUUUUUCGUUGUAAAUAUAGUUUAUCAGCUAUAUUUACAAUCUCAAAUAUAUAGCAUUAUCUACACCCUCAUGGUCCUUCCAUUGACUGGCAGUCAGGCCCGGCCCAUGACAUAUUUCUAAGAAACAUGGGUAUUGAGCCACCAAAAGUUUUAAGGUUUUUAGUAUCAAAAUUAUACCUCAAAAAUAUUUGUUGCCUCAUUUUCUAAAUUUUUU
RNAcentral lists this small RNA (351 nucleotides) under Arabidopsis thaliana (thale cress). Its description in RNAcentral is "ATSL276810". The record is from RNAcentral. Lineage: Eukaryota; Viridiplantae; Streptophyta; Magnoliopsida; Brassicales; Brassicaceae.